RNAcentral lists this ribosomal RNA (397 nucleotides) under uncultured bacterium. RNAcentral's name for it is "partial 16S ribosomal RNA". It matches the Rfam family "Bacterial small subunit ribosomal RNA", at positions 523 to 918 of the family's 1533-position model. The record is from RNAcentral.
AUACGUAGGGGGCGAGCGUUGUCCGGAAUGACUGGGCGUAAAGGGCGUGUAGGCGGCGGUGUAAGUCUGGAGUGAAAGUCCCGCAUUCAAUGUGGGAAUUGCUUUGGAUACUGCAGUGCUAGAGUGCGGAAGAGGUAAGCGGACUUCCCAGUGUAGCAGUGAAAUGCGUAGAGAUUGGGAGGAACACCAGUGGCGAAGGCGACUUACUGGGCCGUAACUGACGCUGAGGCGCGAAAGCGUGGGGAGCGAACAGGAUUAGAUACCCUGGUAGUCCACGCGGUAAACGAUGAAUGCUAGGUGUUGCGGGUAUCGACCCCUGCAGUGCCGGAGUAAACACAAUAAGCAUUCCGCCUGGGGAGUACGGCCGCAAGGUUGAAACUCAAAGGAAUUGACGGGG